Molecule: ribosomal RNA, 253 nt
Filed under: uncultured bacterium
Lineage: Bacteria
Description: partial 16S ribosomal RNA
Rfam family: Bacterial small subunit ribosomal RNA
Source: RNAcentral
UACGGGGGGGGUAAGCGUUGUUCGGAAUUACUGGGCGUAAAGGGCUCGUAGGCGGCCAACUAAGUCGGACGUGAAAUCCCUCAGCUUAACUGGGGAACUGCGUCCGAUACUGGAUGGCUUGGAUUUGGGAGAGGGAUGCGGAAUUCCAGGUGUAGCGGUGAAAUGCGUAGAUAUCGGGAAGAACACCCGUGGCGAAGGCGGCUCUCUGGGACGGUACUGACGCUGAGACGCGAAAGCGUGGGGAGCGAACAGG